GACGAAGGAUGCAAGCGUUAUCCGGAUUCAUUGGGCGUAAAGAGCUCGUAGGCGGCUGCUCAAGUCGAAUGUGAAAACUCGAGGCUCAACCUCGAGCCUGCAUUCGAUACUGGGCGGCUAGAGUCUGGUAGGGGGAUCUGGGAUUCCUGGUGUAGCGGUGGAAUGCGCAGAUAUCAGGAGGAACACCGGUGGCGAAGGCGGGAUCCUGGGCCAGUACUGACGCUGAGGAGCGAAAGCGUGGGGAGCAAACAGG
Molecule: ribosomal RNA, 253 nt
Filed under: uncultured bacterium
Lineage: Bacteria
Description: partial 16S ribosomal RNA
Rfam family: Bacterial small subunit ribosomal RNA
Source: RNAcentral